Molecule: long non-coding RNA, 1858 nt
Organism: Athalia rosae (coleseed sawfly)
Lineage: Eukaryota; Metazoa; Arthropoda; Insecta; Hymenoptera; Athaliidae
Exons: 3
Source: RefSeq, a predicted model, not a curated record
AAUUUUUUUAUCGACCUUUUCUUACGACUAAUUUUUCUAUUCUCUAUUUUCGUAUCGAUCGUUAAUUAUCGGCGGGCAACAACAAACAUCGGGACGGAUCCGUGUACGAGAGAUUGUAAUUAAUGAAGAAACGUUGGGGGGCGCGUACGUUUUUACUCGGGAUCGGUCGUUUCUCCUUUGACGACGUAGUUGCAGGUUGCGUAAAGUAGUCGUAAAAUGCAAAGCCGGCGGAUCAGAUCCGGCAGAAAAUGGUACGACGCCGACGCGCGACGUCCAACGCGCGACGCCCUCGACCCUCGAAUCUACGACGCGACGCGACGCGACGCGACGUCCCGCGAUUUUACCCCUACGGCGAACCUACGCGCGCAUCGCGCCCAGCUAAAAUUCAUCCGGCCCGCAAGAAGCUUAGCCCGCGCAUCCAUCGCCCCGCCGCUUGUACGCCGUAACAAUAAAAACCCAUUAAGCUCAACUCGAGCUCCGGAGCUUUGUCUAUUAGCUGCAAACAACAGUCUGUUUGCUAAAAUUUCUCUCUUAACGAGAUGAAAAACGGAUCCCGUGCCUCGAACGUUCCGUACGUGUGUUCGAAUAGGUACGUACGUACGAAACGUGACGCGCACUCCCACACAUGAAUCGAAAGUAGUAUUUCACCUGAACUGCGAUGCAGCUGAUUACUGACGCGAACAGUUUUUGUCGAAAAUCCCGACGAUGGUUCGAAGUUAUUUUUUGGUUUUCGUUCAUAUUUGAAAUUUGACCGACCCAAACGAUUUUCCGACCCUCUCCCUUGUUUAUUUCGUCUAUUUCGUUAUGUUUUUGGUUCUUUACGUUUCAUUGGCCGCGGAGCGAGUCACGAGGUCGAUCGGUCUCCGCCUAUUCGGACUCCUCUGCGUGAAUCGCCCUGUACAUCGGAGACGAGUUUCCACGACAAUAAGUGGCGCUAUAGACGAGAUUGCCCGAUGUCGCUUACCUCGCCCGCACCUCGUUCGUUCGGUGAUAAUUAUUAUCUCAAACUCGGUCUCCGUUCAAUUAAUCUUUCCAAGAUGAUAUAACGUCCUGGGUGCCAAGAACCUUUCCUUUAUUACGACUAUACCUGCGACGUGGCAGCGUCGACUUGGCCACCCUGGACGGUCAACUGCGUACUCCGCUCGCGGUGCGAUGUGAGACUCGCAAACAGAUGGAUGAAAAUACUGCGGAAAGCAAAAACGGAUACGUCUAACGCCCCGAAAUUCGGGAUAACGCAGGAAUCAUUUAUGGUAAACGGUCGUCCAGUUCUCGCCACCAUUCGUUCUCCUCACCGAUACCUAGACAAUAAAUUCCACGUUUCGUUCUCGAUUGAAAAUCGUAAUCGAAAACGGGAUUCUCCUGUUUUAUGCUCCUUGUUCAACUUUAUUUUACAUAUAAAUUUUUUUUCCUCUUCCGUUUUCCCCAUAUUUUCCGUAAGCCUCCCCGAAGCUAUAUAUAUAUACGUACGUACACAUACAUUGUUAUGUACGGUACGUAGGUACCGACACGUGUACGCGUACAUAAGGCGUGAAAUAACACCAUUUUUUCCACUGAAAAAUUUCAUAACGACUAGAAAAAACAAUUUCCUUAUAAGCACUAUACCGCAAAAUGUUUACCCUGUAUAGCAACAAUAACGAUAACGUUUAACUUUUUUCUUUUUUUUUUUUUUUUCUUCAAUAAAAGUACAGUAUAUACAACGCAACACAUCGACGACGGGUGUGCAUAUGUAUAUAUACCCAUGUAUUAUGUGUGUAUAUAAAUUCACCACGAUCCGGUACAUAGGUACGUACCGUGCGACGAUGUAUUAUGUACGACGUAACGUAGUUGUCGGUUGCCUCCCGAAGCGCACAUACUCGAA